CAGCAGCCGCGGUAAUACGUAGGUGGCAAGCGUUGUCCGGAAUUAUUGGGUGUAAAGGGUGUGCAGACGGCUUAUUAAGUCACUUGUUAAAUUCUUCGGCCUAACUGAAGGUCUGCAAGUGAUACUGAUGAGCUAGAGGGUGGAAGAGAGAAGUGGAAUUCUCGGAGUAGCGGUAAAAUGCGUAGAUCUCGAGAGGAACACCAAUGGCGAAGGCAGCUUCUUGGUCCAUUCCUGACGUUCAUACACGAAAGCGUGGGGAGCAAACAGGAUUAGAUACCCGUGUAGUCCCUGUCUCUAUACA
RNAcentral lists this ribosomal RNA (301 nucleotides) under uncultured bacterium. RNAcentral's name for it is "partial 16S ribosomal RNA". It matches the Rfam family "Bacterial small subunit ribosomal RNA", at positions 509 to 808 of the family's 1533-position model. The record is from RNAcentral.